This is a long non-coding RNA of Patella vulgata (common limpet), 592 nucleotides long. RefSeq lists it as uncharacterized. Lineage: Eukaryota; Metazoa; Mollusca; Gastropoda; Patellidae. The record is from RefSeq and is a predicted model, not a curated record. The transcript is spliced from 4 exons.
UGGGUGGAAAUUAUACCGGCACCACAGUGUAAUAUUGAUCUCACUGUUUCCCUAUAAUAAGGAAUUAAAGAAUAGUGAUGCUGUUUACCGUGUUUAUAUCAGAUGUUUACUGUAAAUGAUUCACUUUUAGUAUUUUAGCUUUUGCAGCAAGCUGUCAAAUAAAGCCUGGAUCGUUAAAUUCUUGUAAUAGUUGUAGCUGAACAGACGGAUAGAUUCAAAUCAAGUCUCGUGUCGAGCAGACGAUCAAGACACCCUAUAUGUCACACCGCCCUCUACAUGCAUUCAGACGUGUAUAUCUACCACAUAUCUAAGAUUUCAUUGUUUUAUUUAUAGUGUGAAAUAAGAAGGGGAAGUUGACAUGCCAGCUAACAGAAACUUGACGUUAGAUUUAAAGCCAGAACCAGGAGUAAGAAUGGCUGCCUUAGUAGGAAAGUGGAAGUUUGAAUCGGCCGAUAAUUUGGAUGGAUUUAUGCAAAAAUUGGGAAUCCCAGAAAAUAUGAGAGAAAUGGCUAAAUCUGGUAAACCAGAAGUUGAACUCGGUCAAGAUGGCGAUCAGUGGUCAAUUAAAACAUGUAUUGGUGAUAAAGUAAAA